Molecule: ribosomal RNA, 301 nt
Filed under: uncultured bacterium
Lineage: Bacteria
Description: partial 16S ribosomal RNA
Rfam family: Bacterial small subunit ribosomal RNA
Source: RNAcentral
CAGCAGCCGCGGGAACACGAAGGGUGCAAGCGUUAAUCGGAAUUACUGGGCGUAAAGCGUGCGUAGGCGGUUUGUUAAGUCUGCUGUGAAAUCCCCGGGCUCAACCUGGGAAUGGCAGUGGAUACUGGCAAGCUAGAGUGUGUCAGAGGAUGGUGGAAUUCCCGGUGUAGCGGUGAAAUGCGUAGAGAUCUGGAGGAAUACCGGUGGCGAAGGCGGCCCCCUGGACAAAGACUGACGCUCAGGUGCGAAAGCGUGGGGAGCAAACAGGAUUAGAUACCCGCGUAGUCCCUGUCUCUUAUAC